UACGUAGGGUGCAAGCGUUGUCCGGAAUUAUUGGGCGUAAAGAGCUCGUAGGCGGUUUGUUGCGUCGGCUGUGAAAACCCGCAGCUCAACUGUGGGCUUGCAGCUGAUACGGGCAGGCUCGAGUUCGGUAGGGGAGACUGGAAUUCCUGGUGUAGCGGUGAAAUGCGCAGAUAUCAGGAGGAACACCGGUGGCGAAGGCGGGUCUCUGGGCCGAUACUGACGCUGAGGAGCGAAAGCGUGGGGAGCGAACAGG
Molecule: ribosomal RNA, 253 nt
Filed under: uncultured bacterium
Lineage: Bacteria
Description: partial 16S ribosomal RNA
Rfam family: Bacterial small subunit ribosomal RNA
Source: RNAcentral